CGUGUGACUGCGUACCUUUUGUAUAAUGGGUCAGCGACUUAUAUUCUGUAGCAAGGUUAACCGAAUAGGGGAGCCGAAGGGAAACCGAGUCUUAACUGGGCGUUAAGUUGCAGGGUAUAGACCCGAAACCCGGUGAUCUAGCCAUGGGCAGGUUGAAGGUUGGGUAACACUAACUGGAGGACCGAACCGACUAAUGUUGAAAAAUUAGCGGAUGACUUGUGGCUGGGGGUGAAAGGCCAAUCAAACCGGGAGAUAGCUGGUUCUCCCCGAAAGCUAUUUAGGUAGCGCCUCGUGAAUUCAUCUCCGGGGGUAGAGCACUGUUUCGGCAAGGGGGUCAUCCCGACUUACCAACCCGAUGCAAACUGCGAAUACCGGAGAAUGUUAUCACGGGAGACACACGGCGGGUGCUAACGUCCGUCGUGAAGAGGGAAACAACCCAGACCGCCAGCUAAGGUCCCAAAGUCAUGGUUAAGUGGGAAACGAUGUGGGAAGGCCCAGACAGCCAGGAUGUUGGCUUAGAAGCAGCCAUCAUUUAAAGAAAGCGUAAUAGCUCACUGGUCGAGUCGGCCUGCGCGGAAGAUGUAACGGGGCUAAACCAUGCACCGAAGCUGCGGCAGCGACGCUGAUGCGUUGUUGGGUAGGGGAGCGUUCUGUAAGCCUGCGAAGGUGUGCUGUGAGGCAUGCUGGAGGUAUCAGAAGUGCGAAUGCUGACAUAAGUAACGAUAAAGCGGGUGAAAAGCCCGCUCGCCGGAAGACCAAGGGUUCCUGUCCAACGUUAAUCGGGGCAGGGUGAGUCGACCCCUAAGGCGAGGCCGAAAGGCGUAGUCGAUGGGAAACAGGUUAAUAUUCCUGUACUUGGUGUUACUGCGAAGGGGGGACGGAGAAGGCUAUGUUGGCCGGGCGACGGUUGUCCCGGUUUAAGCGUGUAGGCUGGUUUUCCAGGCAAAUCCGGAAAAUCAAGGCUGAGGCGUGAUGACGAGGCACUACGGUGCUGAAGCAACAAAUGCCCUGCUUCCAGGAAAAGCCUCUAAGCAUCAGGUAACAUCAAAUCGUACCCCAAACCGACACAGGUGGUCAGGUAGAGAAUACCAAGGCGCUUGAGAGAACUCGGGUGAAGGAACUAGGCAAAAUGGUGCCGUAACUUCGGGAGAA
RNAcentral lists this ribosomal RNA (1152 nucleotides) under Escherichia coli. RNAcentral describes it as "partial 23S ribosomal RNA". It matches the Rfam family "Bacterial large subunit ribosomal RNA", at positions 590 to 1744 of the family's 2925-position model. Lineage: Bacteria; Pseudomonadati; Pseudomonadota; Gammaproteobacteria; Enterobacterales; Enterobacteriaceae. The record is from RNAcentral.